RNAcentral lists this ribosomal RNA (308 nucleotides) under uncultured bacterium. RNAcentral describes it as "bacterial SSU rRNA". It matches the Rfam family "Bacterial small subunit ribosomal RNA", at positions 30 to 334 of the family's 1533-position model. The record is from RNAcentral.
AUUGAACGCUAGCGGCAUGCCUAACACAUGCAAGUCGAACGGUAACGCGGAGAGCUUGCUCUCUGGCGACGAGUGGCGGACGGGUGAGUAACGCGUAGGAAUCUGCCUAGUAGUGGGGGACAACCCGGGGAAACCCGGGCUAAUACCGCAUACGCCCUACGGGGGAAAGUGGGGGAUCUUCGGACCUCACGCUAUUAGAUGAGCCUGCGUCUGAUUAGCUAGUUGGUGAGGUAAUGGCUCACCAAGGCGACGAUCAGUAGCUGGUCUGAGAGGACGAUCAGCCACACUGGGACUGAGACACGGCCCAG